RNAcentral lists this long non-coding RNA (590 nucleotides) under Lynx pardinus (Iberian lynx). The record is from RNAcentral. Lineage: Eukaryota; Metazoa; Chordata; Mammalia; Carnivora; Felidae.
UUCUAACAGAACUUUGCCCUCCUCUGCGAUCUUAGUGCGUGCUCCAGGCUGACUUCAUCUCCUCCCAUAAAGAUACGGUCGUAAGCGGUCGGGCUGGAUGAACUCUUUCUCGUCCCUGAUCCUCCUUUGGGCUACUCUUCCUUCCACCCCGGAUGCUCCCUAGGUGGGUUCCCGACGUUAGUAAAGGAAGGCUUCUGCUCCCCCUGGUGGUCCUAAAUGGAAAAGGUGAGUAAAUCGCACACCGUAUCUCCCCUUCCCUUAACAAAUUUUUGUUAGUGAGCAUACAUUAGCUGGGUCCCCCUCCUCAGGAAAAGAGUCUCCUGAGGGAAACAGAGAUGUGAACAACUCUACAUUAAAGUCUGGAAAGAGCCAUGGGAGUCUGGUAUAAGGAUCAAGGAUGGCCACACCACCUGCCUGAACACAUCCAGGGAUGGGACAUCCAAGACCUCCUGGUUAAAGAGAAUUGUUUUCAAAAAGAAAAAAAAUCAUGACUCUCAGACAACUAUAAAGUGAACACACAUCAAAGAUUUUAUUUGACUCAUUAAUUAAUGAGGGAACGAGUAAAGUGUGAAAAACCUGUUUACAGAAGG